UGUGUAAACACCCUGUGUAAACAAUAAUGAAAAGAUUAUCAUUGAUUAUGAUAAUCUUUUCAUUAUUGUUUACACAGGAUGUGGUUGUCC
Non-coding RNA from Paramuricea clavata, 90 nucleotides. The record is from the annotation of a GenBank genome assembly. Lineage: Eukaryota; Metazoa; Cnidaria; Anthozoa; Malacalcyonacea; Plexauridae.